This 291-nucleotide ribosomal RNA is filed under the name uncultured archaeon. RNAcentral's name for it is "partial 16S ribosomal RNA". It matches the Rfam family "Archaeal small subunit ribosomal RNA", at positions 339 to 631 of the family's 1478-position model. The record is from RNAcentral.
UCGAGAAAUCUUCACAAUGUGCGAAAGCACGAUGAGGGAAUCCCAAGUGCUAGCACGUAAGUGUUAGCUGUUUCUUAGUCUAAAAAACUGAGAGAGUAAGGGCUGGGUAAGACGGGUGCCAGCCGCCGCGGUAAUACCCGCAGCUCAAGUGGUGGCCGCUAUUAUUGGGCCUAAAACGUCCGUAGCCUGUUUAGUAAAUGCUUGGGUAAAUUGUGUAGCUUAACUAUACGAAUACCGGGUAGACUGCUAAACUUGGGACCGGGAGAGGCUAGAGGUACUCCUGGGGUAGAG